CAGUAGCCGCGGGAAUACGAAGGGUGCAAGCGUUAAUCGGAAUUACUGGGCGUAAAGCGCGCGUAGGCGGUUACUCAAGUCAGAGGUGAAAGCCCGGGGCUCAACCCCGGAACUGCCUUUGAAACUAGGUGACUAGAAUCUUGGAGAGGUCAGUGGAAUUCCGAGUGUAGAGGUGAAAUUCGUAGAUAUUCGGAAGAACACCAGUGGCGAAGGCGACUGACUGGACAAGUAUUGACGCUGAGGUGCGAAAGCGUGGGGAGCAAACAGGAUUAGAUACCCCAGUAGUUCCUGUCUCUUAUAC
This 301-nucleotide ribosomal RNA is filed under the name uncultured bacterium. RNAcentral's name for it is "partial 16S ribosomal RNA". It matches the Rfam family "Bacterial small subunit ribosomal RNA", at positions 509 to 807 of the family's 1533-position model. The record is from RNAcentral.